This 253-nucleotide ribosomal RNA is filed under the name uncultured bacterium. Its description in RNAcentral is "partial 16S ribosomal RNA". It matches the Rfam family "Bacterial small subunit ribosomal RNA", at positions 524 to 776 of the family's 1533-position model. The record is from RNAcentral.
UACAGAGGUCCCGAGCGUUGUUCGGAUUCACUGGGCGUAAAGGGUGCGUAGGUGGUUGGGCAAGUCUGAUGUGAAAUCUCCGGGCUUAACCCGGAAAUGGCAUUGGAAACUGCCUGGCUAGAGUGUUGGAGGGGGGACUGGAAUUCUCGGUGUAGCAGUGAAAUGCGUAGAUAUCGAGAGGAACACCAGUGGCGAAGGCGAGUCCCUGGACAACGACUGACACUGAGGCACGAAAGCUAGGGGAGCAAACAGG